GACGAACCGAGCGAACGUUAUUCGGAAUCACUGGGCUUAAAGGGCGCGUAGGCGGGCCAUCAAGUCAGGGGUGAAAGCCCCCAGCUCAACUGGGGAAGUGCCUUUGAAACUGGUGGUCUCGAGGGGGAUAGGGGCAUGCGGAACUUCCGGUGGAGCGGUGAAAUGCGUAGAUAUCUGGAGGAACACCGGUGGCGAAGGCGGCAUUCUGGACCGACAUUGACGCUGAGGAGCGAAAGCCAGGGGAGCAAACGGG
RNAcentral lists this ribosomal RNA (253 nucleotides) under uncultured bacterium. RNAcentral's name for it is "partial 16S ribosomal RNA". It matches the Rfam family "Bacterial small subunit ribosomal RNA", at positions 524 to 776 of the family's 1533-position model. The record is from RNAcentral.